UACGUAGGGGGCAAGCGUUGUCCGGAUUCAUUGGGCGUAAAGAGCGUGUAGGCGGCCAGGUAGGUCGGUUGUGAAAACUGGAGGCUCAACCUUCAGAGGUCGACCGAAACCAUCUGGCUAGAGUCCGGGAGAGGAGAGUGGAAUUCCUGGUGUAGCGGUGAAAUGCGCAGAUAUCAGGAAGAACACCCGUGGCGAAGGCGGAUCUCUGGGCCAUUACUGACGCUGAGGAGCGAAAGCGUGGGGAGCGAACAGG
This 253-nucleotide ribosomal RNA is filed under the name uncultured bacterium. RNAcentral's name for it is "partial 16S ribosomal RNA". It matches the Rfam family "Bacterial small subunit ribosomal RNA", at positions 524 to 776 of the family's 1533-position model. The record is from RNAcentral.